This 498-nucleotide ribosomal RNA is filed under the name uncultured bacterium. RNAcentral's name for it is "partial 16S ribosomal RNA". It matches the Rfam family "Bacterial small subunit ribosomal RNA", at positions 28 to 523 of the family's 1533-position model. The record is from RNAcentral.
GAUGAACGCUAGCGGCAGGCCUAAUACAUGCAAGUCGAACGGUAACAGGCCGCAAGGUGCUGACGAGUGGCGAACGGGUGAGUAAUGCAUCGGAACGUGCCCAGCCGUGGGGGAUAACGCAGCGAAAGCUGCGCUAAUACCGCAUACGAUCUAUGGAUGAAAGCGGGGGACCGUAAGGCCUCGCGCGAUCGGAGCGGCCGAUGUCAUAUUAGGUAGUUGGUGGGGUAAAGGCUCACCAAGCCGACGAUCUGUAGCUGGUCUGAGAGGACGACCAGCCACACUGGGACUGAGACACGGCCCAGACUCCUACGGGAGGCAGCAGUGGGGAAUUUUGGACAAUGGGGGCAACCCUGAUCCAGCAAUGCCGCGUGCAGGAAGAAGGCCUUCGGGUUGUAAACUGCUUUUGUACGGAACGAAACGGCUCUGGUUAAUACCUGGGGCUAAUGACGGUACCGUAAGAAUAAGCACCGGCUAACUACGUGCCAGCAGCCGCAGUAA